Molecule: small RNA, 55 nt
Filed under: Sinorhizobium meliloti 2011
Lineage: Bacteria; Pseudomonadati; Pseudomonadota; Alphaproteobacteria; Hyphomicrobiales; Rhizobiaceae
Description: putative ncRNA
Source: RNAcentral
AGAACAUGAAAUACUCGCCCUCGGCAUUGCGCCCGACGGGUGCCCGAUGAACUGC